Molecule: ribosomal RNA, 362 nt
Filed under: Salmonella enterica subsp. enterica serovar Kentucky
Lineage: Bacteria; Pseudomonadati; Pseudomonadota; Gammaproteobacteria; Enterobacterales; Enterobacteriaceae
Description: partial 23S ribosomal RNA
Rfam family: Bacterial large subunit ribosomal RNA
Source: RNAcentral
UGUUUCGGCUAGGGGGCCAUCCCGGCUUACCAACCCGAUGCAAACUGCGAAUACCGGAGAAUGUUAUCACGGGAGACACACGGCGGGUGCUAACGUCCGUCGUGAAGAGGGAAACAACCCAGACCGCCAGCUAAGGUCCCAAAGUCAUGGUUAAGUGGGAAACGAUGUGGGAAGGCCCAGACAGCCAGGAUGUUGGCUUAGAAGCAGCCAUCAUUUAAAGAAAGCGUAAUAGCUCACUGGUCGAGUCGGCCUGCGCGGAAGAUGUAACGGGGCUAAACCAUGCACCGAAGCUGCGGCAGCGACACUGUGUGUUGUUGGGUAGGGGAGCGUUCUGUAAGCCUGCGAAGGUGUCCCGUGAGGGA